RNAcentral lists this small RNA (551 nucleotides) under Pongo abelii (Sumatran orangutan). Its description in RNAcentral is "processed transcript". Lineage: Eukaryota; Metazoa; Chordata; Mammalia; Primates; Hominidae. The record is from RNAcentral.
GACACUUACUGGGUGGGCAGAGCAACAUUGUUUUGACAGUGAAAAUUACCAAUUUAUAAAUUUUUAAGAAAAGCAUGCCUAGCACAGACCACCUGGUUACCAAGAGGAAGCUGAAGAGGAGAUUCUGCUAGAGGUUUCUUGAGUACAGGCGAUCAGGCUGCAAAAGGGAACUAUGGACUCCUUGAUCUCAUACAAGCUUUAAGAUGGACUAGUGAAAACAUUGGAUUCUUUGGUGGUGACCCCUUAAGAAUCACUGUUUUUGGAUCUGGUGCUGGGGGUUCAUGUGUCAACCUGCUGACUUUAUCCCAUUAUUCUGAAGGACUUUUUCAACGAGCAAUAGCUCAAAGUGGAACAGCCCUUUCCAGCUGGGCUGUUAGUUUUCAACCUGCAAAAUAUGCUAGAAUGUUGGCCACAAAAGUUGGUUGCAAUGUUUCAGAUACAGUAGAGUUAGUGGAAUGCCUACAGAAGAAGCCUUACAAAGAACUUGUUGACCAAGAUAUUCAACCAGCUCGAUACCACAUAGCCUUUGGACCUGUGAUUGAUGGUGAUGU